RNAcentral lists this ribosomal RNA (428 nucleotides) under Chloroflexota bacterium. RNAcentral's name for it is "Chloroflexi bacterium partial 16S ribosomal RNA". It matches the Rfam family "Bacterial small subunit ribosomal RNA", at positions 355 to 776 of the family's 1533-position model. The record is from RNAcentral. Lineage: Bacteria; Bacillati; Chloroflexota.
UAGGGAAUCUUCGGCAAUGGACGAAAGUCUGACCGAGCAACGCCGCGUGAGUGAAGAAGGUUUUCGGAUCGUAAAACUCUGUUGUUAGAGAAGAACAAGGACGUUAGUAACUGAACGUCCCCUGACGGUAUCUAACCAGAAAGCCACGGCUAACUACGUGCCAGCAGCCGCGGUAAUACGGAGGGUGCAAGCGUUAAUCGGAAUUACUGGGCGUAAAGCGCACGCAGGCGGUUGAUUGAGUCAGAUGUGAAAUCCCCGGGCUUAACCCGGGAAUUGCAUCUGAUACUGGUCAGCUAGAGUCUUGUAGAGGGGGGUAGAAUUCCAUGUGUAGCGGUGAAAUGCGUAGAGAUGUGGAGGAAUACCGGUGGCGAAGGCGGCCCCCUGGACAAAGACUGACGCUCAGGUGCGAAAGCGUGGGAGCAAACAGG